This 428-nucleotide ribosomal RNA is filed under the name uncultured cyanobacterium. RNAcentral's name for it is "bacterial SSU rRNA". It matches the Rfam family "Bacterial small subunit ribosomal RNA", at positions 354 to 797 of the family's 1533-position model. The record is from RNAcentral. Lineage: Bacteria; Bacillati; Cyanobacteriota.
UUGGGGAAUUUCCCGCAAUGGGCGAAAGCCUGACGGAGCAACGCCGCGUGAGGGACGAAGGCCUCUGGGCUGUAAACCUCUUUUCUCAAGGAAGAAGAUAUGACGGUACUUGAGGAAUAAGCCACGGCUAAUUCCGUGCCAGCAGCCGCGGUAAUACGGGAGUGGCAAGCGUUAUCCGGAAUUAUUGGGCGUAAAGCGUCCGCAGGCGGCUUUUCAAGUCUGCUGUUAAAGCGUGGAGCUUAACUCCAUCAUGGCAGUGGAAACCGAAAGGCUUGAGUAUGGUAGGGGCAGAGGGAAUUCCCGGUGUAGCGGUGAAAUGCGUAGAUAUCGGGAAGAACACCAGUGGCGAAGGCGCUCUGCUGGGCCAUUACUGACGCUCAUGGACGAAAGCCAGGGGAGCGAAAGGGAUUAGAUACCCCGGCUGCUCC